RNAcentral lists this ribosomal RNA (253 nucleotides) under uncultured bacterium. RNAcentral's name for it is "partial 16S ribosomal RNA". It matches the Rfam family "Bacterial small subunit ribosomal RNA", at positions 524 to 776 of the family's 1533-position model. The record is from RNAcentral.
GACAGAGGGUGCAAACGUUGUUCGGAAUUACUGGGCGUAAAGCGCGUGUAGGCGGUUCGUAAAGUCGGAUGUGAAAGCCCUGGGCUUAACCCAGGAAGUGCAUUCGAAACUCACGAACUUGAGUCCCGGAGAGGAAGGCGGAAUUCUCGGUGUAGAGGUGAAAUUCGUAGAUAUCGAGAGGAACAUCUGUGGCGAAGGCGGCUCACUGGCCCGGUACUGACGCUGAGGUGCGAAAGCGUGGGGAGCAAACAGG